RNAcentral lists this ribosomal RNA (497 nucleotides) under uncultured bacterium. Its description in RNAcentral is "partial 16S ribosomal RNA". It matches the Rfam family "Bacterial small subunit ribosomal RNA", at positions 28 to 507 of the family's 1533-position model. The record is from RNAcentral.
GAUGAACGCUGGCGGCGUGCCUAAUACAUGCAAGUCGAGCGAACAGACGAGGAGCUUGCUCCUCUGACGUUAGCGGCGGACGGGUGAGUAACACGUGGAUAACCUACCUAUAAGACUGGGAUAACUUCGGGAAACCGGAGCUAAUACCGGAUAAUAUAUUGAACCGCAUGGUUCAAUAGUGAAAGACGGUUUUGCUGUCCCUUAUAGAUGGAUCCGCGCCGCAUUAGCUAGUUGGUAAGGUAACGGCUUACCAAGGCGACGAUGCGUAGCCGACCUGAGAGGGUGAUCGGCCACACUGGAACUGAGACACGGUCCAGACUCCUACGGGAGGCAGCAGUAGUGAAUCUUCCGCAAUGGGCGAAAGCCUGACGGGGCAACGCCUCGUGAGUGAGGAAGGUCUUCGGAUCGUAAAACGCUGUUAUUAUGGAAGAACAAAUGUGUAAGUAACUAUGCACGUCUUGACGGUACCUAAUCAGAAAGCCACGACUAACUACGUG